CGCGUAGGCGGUCUUGUCAGUCAGGCGUGAAAGCCCCGGGCUUAACCCGGGAACUGCGUUUGAUACUGCAAGACUUGAGAAUGGGAGGGGAAAGUGGAAUUCCUAGUGUAGAGGUGAAAUUCGUAGAUAUUAGGAGGAACACCAGAGGCGAAGGCGGCUUUCUGGUCCAUUUCUGACGCUGAGGCGCGAAAGCGUGGGGAGCAAACA
RNAcentral lists this ribosomal RNA (207 nucleotides) under uncultured bacterium. Its description in RNAcentral is "partial 16S ribosomal RNA". It matches the Rfam family "Bacterial small subunit ribosomal RNA", at positions 568 to 774 of the family's 1533-position model. The record is from RNAcentral.